RNAcentral lists this ribosomal RNA (338 nucleotides) under uncultured Bacteroidales bacterium. Its description in RNAcentral is "bacterial SSU rRNA". It matches the Rfam family "Bacterial small subunit ribosomal RNA", at positions 1 to 339 of the family's 1533-position model. Lineage: Bacteria; Pseudomonadati; Bacteroidota; Bacteroidia; Bacteroidales. The record is from RNAcentral.
AGUAGUUUGACUCCGUGGCUCGAGGACGAACGCUGGCGGCGUGCCUAACACAUGCAAGUCGAGGGGCAACAUGGAGACAGCUUGCUGUCUCUGAUGGCGACCGGCGAAUGGGUGAGUAACGCGUAUCCAACCUGGCGCACACCCGGGAAUAGCCCUUGGAAAUGAGGAUUAAGUCCCGAUAGGCCAUCAUGCCGCAUGGCGUGUUGGUGAAACCAGGUAUGCGAUGGGGAUGCGUCCGAUUAGCUUGCCGGCGGGGUAACGGCCCACCGGGGCAUCGAUCGGUAGGGGUUCUGAGAGGAAGGUCCCCCACACUGGUACUGAGACACGGACCAGACUCC